CCAAUAGCGUAUAUUAAAGUUGUUGCAGUUAAAAAGCUCGUAGUUGAAUUUCGGGAUUGGCGCAUCGGUCGUGCCUUACGGGGUAUGAACUGGUGCAGUCAAUUUCUCACCUUCUGGAGAACCGCGAUGUCCUUAAUUGGGUGCCGCGGGGAACCAGGACCUUUACUUUGAAUAAAUUAGAGUGUUUAAAGCAGGCAUUUUUGCUUGAAUACAUUAGCAUGGAAUAAUAAAAUAGGACGGCAUGGUUCUUUUUUGUUGGUUUCUAGGACAACCGUAAUGAUUAAUAGGGAUGGUUGGGGGCAUUAGUAUUCAAUUGUCAGAGGUGAAAUUCUUGGAUUUAUUGAAGACUAACUACUGCGAAAGCAUUUGCCAAGGAUGUUUUCAUUAAUCAAGAACGAAAGUUAGGGGAUCGAAGACGAUCAGAUACCGUCGUAGUCUUAACCAUAAACUAUGCCGACUAGGAAUCAGACGAUGUUAAUUUUUUAAUGACUCGUUUGGCACCUUACG
This 507-nucleotide unclassified non-coding RNA is filed under the name uncultured Entrophospora. Its description in RNAcentral is "SSU rRNA". It matches the Rfam family "Eukaryotic small subunit ribosomal RNA", at positions 591 to 1092 of the family's 1831-position model. The record is from RNAcentral. Lineage: Eukaryota; Fungi; Glomeromycota; Glomeromycetes; Entrophosporales; Entrophosporaceae.